Cricetulus griseus (Chinese hamster) is the source of this 558-nucleotide non-coding RNA. The record is from the annotation of a RefSeq genome assembly. Lineage: Eukaryota; Metazoa; Chordata; Mammalia; Rodentia; Cricetidae.
AGCAUGGAGUUGGGGCUGAGCUGCAUUUUCCUUGUUGCUCUUUUAAAAGGUGUCCAGUGUGAGGUGCAGCUUUUGGAUUCUGGGGGUGGCCUGGUGAAGCCUGGGGGAUCCUUGAAACUCUCCUGUGCAGCCUCUGGAUUCGCCUUCAGUAGCUACUGGAUGAGCUGGGUCCGCCAGGCUCCAGGGAAGGGCCUGGAGUGGGUUGGAGAUAUUAAAUAUGAUGGCAGUACCACAAGGUAUGCACCAUCCGUGAAGAGUCGGUUCACCAUCUCCAGAGACAAUGCCAAGAACACUCUGUACCUGCAAAUGAACAGUGUGAAGUCUGAGGACACCGCCACUUAUUACUGGGCUAGAGACACAGUGAGUGAUCUCAGUGUGAACCCAGACAUAAACCUCACUGUGAGCCGCUUUCAGUCACCAGGGGGCACACAGCACACACUGAACACAGGUCCAUCCCAGGAGAUGAUGCAGACAGGGUUAGAGGAAGCACCCAUCAGGUGUCUGGGCUGCACUUUUUCUUGCUGUUUCUUAGAAAUUCUGUCUCCACGUGUGAUGUGA